ACGCCUCGGCCUUUGGCUAAGAUCAAGUGUAGUAUCUGUUCUUAUCAGUUUAAUAUCUGAUACGUCCUCUAUCCGAGGACAAUAUAUUAAAUGGAUUUUGGAGCAGGAGAUGGAAUAGAGCUUGUUCCGUCCACUCCACGCAUCGACCUGGUAUUGCAGUACCUCCAGGAACGGUGCACCCCCU
RNAcentral lists this small nuclear RNA (184 nucleotides) under Macaca fascicularis (crab-eating macaque). RNAcentral's name for it is "U2 spliceosomal RNA (ENSMFAG00000064900.1)". It matches the Rfam family "U2 spliceosomal RNA". Rfam says of the family: U2 is a small nuclear RNA (snRNA) component of the spliceosome (involved in pre-mRNA splicing). Complementary binding between U2 snRNA (in an area lying towards the 5' end but 3' to hairpin I) and the branchpoint sequence (BPS) of the intron results the bulging out of an unpaired adenosine, on the BPS, which initiates a nucleophilic attack at the intronic 5' splice site, thus starting the first of two transesterification reactions that mediate splicing. Lineage: Eukaryota; Metazoa; Chordata; Mammalia; Primates; Cercopithecidae. The record is from RNAcentral.